GGGGGGGGGAGUGCGUACCAUGCAGUCGAGCGAAUUGACAGAGGUGCUUGCACCUCUCGAUUUUAGCGGCGGACGGGUGAGUAACACGUGGGUAACCUACCUAUAAGACUGGGAUAACUUCGGGAAACCGGAGCUAAUACCGGAUAAUAUUUAGCUUCGCAUGAAGCAAUAGUGAAAGACGGUUCUGCUGUCACUUAUAGAUGGACCUGCGGUGUAUUAGCUAGUUGGUGAGGUAACGGCUCACCAAGGCAACGAUACAUAGCCGACCUGAGAGGGUGAUCGGCCACACUGGGACUGAGACACGGCCCAGACUCCUACGGGAGGCAGCAGUAGGGAAUCUUCCGCAAUGGACGAAAGUCUGACGGAGCAACGCCGCGUGAGUGAAGAAGGUUUUCGGAUCGUAAAACUCUGUUGUAAGGGAAGAACAAGUACGUUAGUAACUGAACGUACCUUGACGGUACCUUACCAGAAAGCCACGGCUAACUACGUGCCAGCAGCCGCGGUAAUACGUAGGUGGCAAGCGUUAUCCGGAAUUAUUGGGCGUAAAGCGCGCGUAGGCGGUCUCUUAAGUCUGAUGUGAAAGCCCCCGGCUCAACCGGGGAGGGUCAUUGGAAACUGGGAGACUUGAGUACAGAAGAGGAGAGUGGAAUUCCAUGUGUAGCGGUGAAAUGCGCAGAGAUAUGGAGGAACACCAGUGGCGAAGGCGGCUCUCUGGUCUGUAACUGACGCUGAGGUGCGAAAGCGUGGGGAUCAAACAGGAUUAGAUACCCUGGUAGUCCACGCCGUAAACGAUGAGUGCU
RNAcentral lists this ribosomal RNA (800 nucleotides) under Macrococcus sp. JSM 2145015. Its description in RNAcentral is "bacterial SSU rRNA". It matches the Rfam family "Bacterial small subunit ribosomal RNA", at positions 38 to 817 of the family's 1533-position model. The record is from RNAcentral. Lineage: Bacteria; Bacillati; Bacillota; Bacilli; Caryophanales; Staphylococcaceae.